Long non-coding RNA from Cygnus olor (mute swan), 1246 nucleotides. RefSeq lists it as uncharacterized. The record is from RefSeq and is a predicted model, not a curated record. The transcript is spliced from 3 exons. NCBI's taxonomy places the organism in Eukaryota, Metazoa, Chordata, Aves, Anseriformes, Anatidae.
AAGCAGGCAAAGUAACCACCAAAACAAUGUUGUUGAUUUUGUGAAAAUGCGCAGCAGAGAAGAUGAUGAAAAAUUGCAGUGACAUCCUGAUCUCUGUUGCAUCAAGCCUACACGACGUAGCUUUACACCAGCUCUCCAAGUUUCAUGCAGCAGUUUCAGCAGACUCCUCGUACUAGACACCUUCCAAGGGGACUUCAGAUGUGAAAACACAGAGAAGCUUCAGAUUUCAAGUGAGGAACAGUUAGCACAAGGUUGUUCCAUGUGAUGGUAGCAAUAUGAGGUGUUCGGCACUGAUUCCAAAGUGUGGAUCUGAGGAAGAAGGUCUUCAUGGAGUUGCACUUGAAGCUUCAGAGAAAUGCUCAUGCCAGGCCCCAUCAGGAAGGGGACUGUGCCAGUUCAGAAAUGAGUUGUGAUUGUGAUCUGAGAGGCUGCCACUUCACAAUGCUGCAAGUACCUGCCUAACAAAUUAAACUUUCACAAGUCAGUGAAAAGUGGCGCAGGAGUCAACUUUGUGGUACUCAUUGAUGGUACUCAUUUAUGUAAAUACUGCUGUGCUGUACGAGGUCAGAAAUUACUUGGAAGCGAUACAGCGACUUUAUUGGUCACUCAUGAACUCAAAAGCUCAACUGAAGGAGGCAGUCAACUUAAAUUCUUCUGUUGAGCUUUCUUCAAGGCAAGUGUUUGUGUAACAGCAGUGCAUGUUUGCCAUAUGCGUUGUGCCGUGCAGCUGAAGUGAUCUGAGGUUUAGUGACUGUCCAAGAUGUGAAUUUCUUCUUCUCAUUUUAGGACCUAAUCUUCACUGUUCUGACCUAUAGAAACAUAACAUGAAACUAAAACACCUUACAGAAAAAAUUUUAUUUGCAAGGCUAGCACUGACAGAAUUGACAGGUGGAGGUGCGCUACAGUAGCAGCUACCUACACAACUACUUAGAUGUCAGUGACUAAUGCCAUCCAUGUUGCCAUUGCAGGUUUUUCCCACCAAAUGCCUGCAGGUGAGAGUUUUCCUCAAGAGAAACCAAAGAAAUUCAACUGCCUUUUGCUGCUUUCAGAGCCCUGAGUGGGUUCUCCCCCUCCUAGCUCUCCUGGGAUUGGGCUGCCUGGGCUCAGGGCCUUAGUGCAGUUCUCUGGCCUUGAGGCACCUCAGUGGGGGCCUCCCCUCCAAUGCUUGGGAGCCACCUUGAAGCCCCAGCCCUGUCCCAGUCAUGGGCCUCAUUUCCCCAAUCCACCACCCCAACCAUACAUCCUG